CGUAGUUUCCCGUUUUGAGACGUGGUGGUAGCCAGCUGGAUACCAAAGCUGGUGUUAGUUUUUUUAUGUUUUGCGACGUUAUUUUAACUUUUUAUAAAAAGAAAUCUGGGAAAUAGUUAUUCAUUAUGAACCAUGGCUUGCGUAGCCAUUGUUUGUGAGAGUAGAAUGGGUGUUAUAAUGGAGAGCGAUCAAAUAAUGUCUCACCGUGGAAUGCCAAACAAAAUUAUUACUUAGUGAUGCAGUACCAACAAUAUUCACUCACAUACCUCACACAACCUCGUAAGGCCGAGAUUUCCAGACACAAUAGUUAAACAAUGAGGUUUGGAUUUUAAAAGGACAUUCGGUCUUACGACUUUAAGGUAAAGCUAAGGAAACCAGAGCUCACACUAUACACUUCUAAACAAAGUGAACAAGAGGAAAUAUAUUUUUUUAUCACCAAAAUUCGGAAUUGUUAAUUCAUGGUUCAUGGUC
Molecule: long non-coding RNA, 471 nt
Organism: Pectinophora gossypiella (pink bollworm)
Lineage: Eukaryota; Metazoa; Arthropoda; Insecta; Lepidoptera; Gelechiidae
Exons: 3
Source: RefSeq, a predicted model, not a curated record